RNAcentral lists this ribosomal RNA (329 nucleotides) under Staphylococcus aureus. RNAcentral describes it as "bacterial SSU rRNA". It matches the Rfam family "Bacterial small subunit ribosomal RNA", at positions 486 to 814 of the family's 1533-position model. The record is from RNAcentral. Lineage: Bacteria; Bacillati; Bacillota; Bacilli; Caryophanales; Staphylococcaceae.
GAAAGCCACGGCUAACUACGUGCCAGCAGCCGCGGUAAUACGUAGGUGGCAAGCGUUAUCCGGAAUUAUUGGGCGUAAAGCGCGCGUAGGCGGUUUUUUAAGUCUGAUGUGAAAGCCCACGGCUCAACCGUGGAGGGUCAUUGGAAACUGGAAAACUUGAGUGCAGAAGAGGAAAGUGGAAUUCCAUGUGUAGCGGUGAAAUGCGCAGAGAUAUGGAGGAACACCAGUGGCGAAGGCGACUUUCUGGUCUGUAACUGACGCUGAUGUGCGAAAGCGUGGGGAUCAAACAGGAUUAGAUACCCUGGUAGUCCACGCCGUAAACGAUGAGU